Molecule: ribosomal RNA, 430 nt
Filed under: Bacteroidota bacterium
Lineage: Bacteria; Pseudomonadati; Bacteroidota
Description: Bacteroidetes bacterium partial 16S ribosomal RNA
Rfam family: Bacterial small subunit ribosomal RNA
Source: RNAcentral
UAGGGAAUCUUCGGCAAUGGGGGGAACCCUGACCGAGCAACGCCGCGUGAGUGAAGAAGGUUUUCGGAUCGUAAAGCUCUGUUGUUAAGGAAGAACGAGUGUGAGAAUGGAAAGUUCAUACUGUGACGGUACUUAACCAGAAAGGGACGGCUAACUACGUGCCAGCAGCCGCGGUAAUACGUAGGUGGCAAGCGUUGUCCGGAAUUAUUGGGCGUAAAGCGCGCGUAGGCGGUUUUUUAAGUCUGAUGUGAAAGCCCACGGCUCAACCGUGGAGGGUCAUUGUAAACUGGAAAACUUGAGUGCAGAAGAGGAAAGUGGAAUUCCAUGUGUAGCGGUGAAAUGCGCAGAGAUAUGGAGGAACACCAGUGGCGAAGGCGACUUUCUGGUCUGUAACUGACGCUGAUGUGCGAAAGCGUGGGGAUCAAACAGG